CCCGGGCCUUGUACACACCGCCCGUCACACCAUGAGAGUCUGCAACACCCGAAGCCGGUGGCCCAACCCUUUUGGGAGGGAGCCGUCGAAGGUGGGGUCGGCGAUUGGGGUG
RNAcentral lists this ribosomal RNA (112 nucleotides) under uncultured bacterium. RNAcentral describes it as "partial 16S ribosomal RNA". It matches the Rfam family "Bacterial small subunit ribosomal RNA", at positions 1373 to 1482 of the family's 1533-position model. The record is from RNAcentral.